UUUGCANCGGCNNGCCUAAUACAUGCAAGUCGAGCGGACAGAUGGGAGCUUGCUCCCUGAUGUUAGCGGCGGACGGGUGAGCUAACACGUGGGUAACCUGCCUGUAAGACUGGGAUAACUCCGGGAAACCGGGGCUAAUACCGGAUGCUUGUUUGAACCGCAUGGUUCAAACAUAAAAGGUGGCUUCGGCUACCACUUACAGAUGGACCCGCGGCGCAUUAGCUAGUUGGUGAGGUAAUGGCUCACCAAGGCAACGAUGCGUAGCCGACCUGAGAGGGUGAUCGGCCACACUGGGACUGAGACACGGCCCAGACUCCUACGGGAGGCAGCAGUAGGGAAUCUUCCGCAAUGGACGAAAGUCUGACGGAGCAGCGCCGCGUGAGUGAUGAAGGUUUUCGGAUCGUAAAGCUCUGUUGUUAGGGAAGAACAAGUACCGUUCGAAUAGGGCGGUACCUUGACGGUACCUAACCAGAAAGCCACGGCUAACUACGUGCCAGCAGCCGCGGUAAUACGUAUGUGGCAAGCGUUGUCCGGAAUUAUUGGGCGUAAAGGGCUCGCAGGCGGUUUCUUAAGUCUGAUGUGAAAGCCCCCGGCUCAACCGGGGAGGGUCAUUGGAAACUGGGGAACUUGAGUGCACAAUAGGAUAGUGGAAUUCCACGUGUAGCGGUGAAAUGCGUANAGAUGUGGAGGAACACCAGUGGCGAAGGCGACUCUCUGGUCUGUAACUGACGCUGAGGAGCGAAAGCGUGGGGAGCGAACAGGAUUAUAUACCCUGGUAGUCCACGCCGUAAUCGAUGAGUGCUAUGUGUUAUGAGGUUUCCGCCCCUUAUUGCUGCUGCUAACGCAUUAAUCACUCCGCCUGGNGAGUACGGUCGCNGACUGAUACUCUAUGAAUUGAUGGGGCCCGCCCAGUCGUGGAGCAGGUGUU
This 928-nucleotide ribosomal RNA is filed under the name Bacillus subtilis. RNAcentral's name for it is "bacterial SSU rRNA". It matches the Rfam family "Bacterial small subunit ribosomal RNA", at positions 36 to 945 of the family's 1533-position model. Lineage: Bacteria; Bacillati; Bacillota; Bacilli; Caryophanales; Bacillaceae. The record is from RNAcentral.